UAAAACUCACAGCUGUAAUCUACGUCAUCAGAGUGCUCAGCUGAACACUGCAUGCUGGAAACACUUGCUUUGUUAUUUUAACAAAAUCAUAACCAAUCUUUGUUAAACAUAAACACCAAACUUGUUAUUUAAUGGAUUACGCAAUGCAGUUAGCUUUUAACAGCUAGGGCCGCUAUUUCUUGUCCUGGAAUCGCGUUUAACUGACAGGUUAAAGUCUGCUUGAAAGAGCAGCUAACCUAGCUAAGCUGCUAAUGUUAGCCAUCAAGUUAGUCCCAGAUGAGUUUUCUAAUGGAGCCGUCUUUGUCUGGAGAAGUAAAAGAAUCUACUACAAUUUGUUUCGGGACAAACUGGAUCACUCAGAGUGCCAAUGCGGCAAUUGUUUGCUUGCCAAGGAUUAUAGUCUUGAGGUGGCUUCAUUGAUCAUGCAGGUCACCAGCCUACGUAAGAAACUGGGAAAAACGCAAAGCGGAAUGUUUGCGUUUUCUACACCGGUGGCUGGAUGGCGUUCACGCAUAUUGGUGCAUCUCUGUCUUGUCAUUUGUCAUUAUCCGACUGGCCGGUGUUGCCCGGAGUUUGUUCGUCAAGGGAGCCAUCUCCUGUCUCUCUUCUCCCAUAUGAUAGCGGAGUCAAAGGAGCACAGCAAGAGGAGUAUGACAAACAACGAUGGUCGUAUCUCACAAGCCGUGGAGGCCGAAGAAAGCGACCUCACGCAAAGUAGUCUGCACUCCCAACGAGAGGCCUGGAGCGGAUAUAAAAAACAAAUAGUUACUUCCCUGGAGCCUGAUCUUCCAGCACUUUCGUCGCUGGGGGUAUCUGUGCCUACUCCUACUCCUUCCUGUACGAUUUUCGAAGUCGACGUCGGCAACCUUCCGUCCCUGCUCUGGAUCAAGCGGGGAUUCUCCAUCUGUCGAGGCCUGCACCAUCCUGUAAAGAGUGAGAGUGGGCAGAUUUCCCUGACCUUCUCGUCAGCCGUGAUUUUGGGCAGCUCCAUGAUAAUAAUUGUGACCGUUCCUGAUUCAAAAACAAUGUCCUAUCCAGGAGCGAGAGUAAAUUACAUUACUAAGCUGCUCCUGAAUGUACUACGCCAGGACAUGGACACCGAUUUUAUCAUAGUCCAUUGGGGUUUUAAUGACAUUAUGAAGGGCAGCUCUGAAUAGUUGAAACUGGAUUUUUAGUGUCUGCUAGACUCUAAUAAAAUACCCAUCAUAUCUGGCUAUGUGAUUAUUGCAGCUCAAUGGGUAUAACUUUUGUUGACAAUUUCGAUACCUUUUGGAAACAAAACACGUUUUAUAAGGAGGAUGGGAUCCACUCAAGUCAUUUGAGUUCCUGGAUCCUUUCGCACAAUUAUAAGGCUGUGUUAAGACAAUGACUUAUCAAUGACCCAAGCCCAGUUAAUCCCUACCGUUAUGUCACUGAGUCAUCAUAAUGCUUUAGCAAAUGCACAUUAUACCAGCGGCAUUGGUAGACAAAAUUGGUAGACAAAAUGUGAAACGCAAGACAGACAUAACCAAAUGAAAAGGAAAAAGGAUCGGUGGCAGCUAGUAGACCGGCGACGACGACUGCCGAGCGCCACCCGAACAGAGAGAGGAGCCACCUUCGGUGGAAGUCGUGACACAUCUUUACUAAUGUUGCAGAAAUUUGCUUUAAAGCAGUAUCCAGAUCCAUUGGAUGUAGUGAUCACACUAUAGUAAC
Oncorhynchus tshawytscha (Chinook salmon) is the source of this 1692-nucleotide long non-coding RNA. Lineage: Eukaryota; Metazoa; Chordata; Actinopteri; Salmoniformes; Salmonidae. The record is from Ensembl.